This 254-nucleotide ribosomal RNA is filed under the name uncultured bacterium. RNAcentral's name for it is "partial 16S ribosomal RNA". It matches the Rfam family "Bacterial small subunit ribosomal RNA", at positions 524 to 776 of the family's 1533-position model. The record is from RNAcentral.
UACGGGGGGGGCAAGCGUUGUUCGGAAUUACUGGGCGUAAAGGGCUCGUAGGCGGCCAACUAAGUCAGACGUGAAAUCCCUCGGCUUAACCGGGGAACUGCGUCUGAUACUGGAUGGCUUGAGUUUGGGAGAGGGAUGCGGAAUUCCAGGUGUAGCGGUGAAAUGCGUAGAUAUCUGGAGGAACACCGGUGGCGAAGGCGGCAUCCUGGACCAACAUUGACGCUGAGUGAGCGAAAGCCAGGGGAGCAAACGGG